UAAUAGACACAGGGGAGCGAUAAGCUGAGAAAGGUUAAGACCUGACCCUCAUAACCUGAUCUGGGUAAUGCCAGCGAAGGGAGUGAUUAGACGGCUAAU
RNAcentral lists this non-coding RNA (99 nucleotides) under Desulfotomaculum nigrificans. RNAcentral describes it as "TPP sequence". It matches the Rfam family "TPP riboswitch aptamer (THI element)". From Rfam's summary of the family: Vitamin B(1) in its active form thiamin pyrophosphate (TPP) is an essential coenzyme that is synthesised by coupling of pyrimidine and thiazole moieties in bacteria. The previously detected thiamin-regulatory element, thi box was extended, resulting in a new, highly conserved RNA secondary structure, the THI element, which is widely distributed in eubacteria and also occurs in some archaea. Analysis of operon structures identified a large number of new candidate thiamin-regulated genes, mostly transporters, in various prokaryotic organisms. RNAcentral also lists the same sequence under 1 other name. Lineage: Bacteria; Bacillati; Bacillota; Clostridia; Eubacteriales; Desulfotomaculaceae. The record is from RNAcentral.